Bos taurus (domestic cattle) is the source of this 351-nucleotide long non-coding RNA. NCBI's taxonomy places the organism in Eukaryota, Metazoa, Chordata, Mammalia, Artiodactyla, Bovidae. The record is from Ensembl.
GUCGAGGCUCAUGUAACAAUAAUAGGCCUUAGUUUUAGGGCUCAUUUUACCAAAUCACUUACCUAAAGCAACAGGAAUAAGUUUGUUUGGUUGUCAUCCUAAUGUUUGCUUCGACAUCCACAGGUCUGCCAAUGUGCUGUUUCUGGAAGCCUCAGAUCCAGGCUGGAGCUGGAGAAAUUCUGACUCUCUGCAAGCUGAGCUGGCCAGUCGCCUGAGCCCUGGACACACGGUCACCAUUCUACCUAAACAUCAACCCGUGUGGGGUACAGAUUGCAGCCUGGCUCCCCUGACGGUGCUGUGGGGAUCAGAAGUCACUCACGAAGGAGGCAGGAAAGCUCCAGGCCUUAGAGC